RNAcentral lists this transfer RNA (59 nucleotides) under Stenocranius gregalis (narrow-headed vole). Its description in RNAcentral is "tRNA-Ser". The record is from RNAcentral. Lineage: Eukaryota; Metazoa; Chordata; Mammalia; Rodentia; Cricetidae.
AAGAAAGCAUGCAAGAGCUGCUAACUCAUGCUUCCGUACUUAAGCGUACGGCUUUCUUA